CUCCAUAAUCCAUCAGUUUAAAUGAUAUUGAUCCAGAUUUUGAGUGGAAUAUUUUGGUGAUAAAAAUCAAAUCAUUACACAUCAUAUCUGCAUUGGCAAUUGAAUGUGAUCCUUUGAAUGUGGCCUUUGAUGCAAUGUCAUCAUACUUGAUUUGCAUGUGCAUAUGCAAUUCUUUUUUCCAAAGGUAUUACUAACCAUGUUUCUAGAAACGGAGGAAAAUUAAAUAGUUAGGCUACCAUAAUCAUAAUCAUCAUAAUUACUUUCCACAUUUGAAUCGGCCCAAUAAAGCUCCAUUAAGUACUUCAGCAUUAGCGCCUAUUCAGUAAACAGCUGUCCCCUCCUUCCUGGGAAAAGACCAUGGUGCCUGUUUAUGUCGAGGUACCCUCACCAAAUAUGGGGCUACAUGGGAAGAAUUAAGGACAGUGCUGCUGAACGAAAGCCCCCACCGCCAGGUGUGCUGUAUGUCACAGUCAGGGUGUGUAUUUCCCAGAAGACAAACAAAUCAUGCAGUUGGUAGGGUGUCCAAUCAAAACACAUGUUUUGACCAAUGACUAAAAUAAUAUAUUAAUUGUGUAUAUAAUCCUCAAAGAAAACCAACAGUCCAAACCUCUUUUCUCCAUCAUAAUCAGUUCAGAAGUUAUUGUAGUUUUUACUAGGGCUGGGAAGAUACCAGUAUCGCGAUACUCAUUAGUAGGAAACAAAACAAAACAGGAAACAAAACAUAAAACGGAUUUAACCUUUAGGAAAACAGCCCUAAUGUUGGAAACAAACAUCAUUAUGUUGUCAUCCAGAGUCACAUUUAUUUAUUUCCAAGUUAUAGUACACAAUAUUUUACAUACAGCAGGUUUUUAAAGGACCAAAGAGUCUGCAUCAUGUUUUCAUUUUUGCCAUGGAAAAAAUAUUGUGAUACUGGUAUUGUCACAGCCAUAGUUUUUACCCUUGUAGGAUGACCAGAAUUAGAGUGACUAAAUCAAUGGAGGCCAGAGAACAAAGGUGGUCACAAAUCAGGAAAAGUGCAUCUCGUCAGCUAGGCUGGAUGCCGUGUAAUAAUUAAAGCUACUGGCGACCUGACAGGCUCGCUACAGUUGAACUGGUCAUCUUUCUUCUUGAACCCGCCGGACAUAAAACAAUAUAGAGGUAAGAUUGAUAUCGAUUUUGAGACAUGACAUGUAGUAUUUUCAUAUUUUAGUAUAUGCCUUUCAUAUUAAUUUGAAAUUCCUCACAAAAACAAGCGUAUCUCUGUGAAAUGUCAACGGAGCACUGAGCAUAUAGGCAGUGGUGUAAAGUACUUAAGUAAAAAUACUUUAAAGUAUUAAGUAGUUUUUUUGGGGUAUCUGUACUUUAUUUUACUUUUACUCAAGUAUGACAAUUGGGUACUUUUCCCCCCACUGCUAUAGAUCUACCAAGCAUUUUAUUUUCAAAGCCUUUUACAUUUAUGUCAUGCUAAUUUUGCAAAUUGCAAUCCGCAGAAACAACUUUGAAGACAACGACCACAAAAUGUAAAAUCCUCAAAAGUUAUGAAAACCUGCACCGCUAUGUCAAUAUACUGUAGCUCAGUCUUAUUAUUGGAUGUUUUAGGUUACGAAAUCCAACUUUUUGGAUAUAAUGUUAAUGAUAUGUUAAAGACCCCACUGAACAAUUCAUAACAUGAAUAAUCAUAUUUGGCUUGGUAAAAUGUAUUUAAUAACAUAAGAAAGUGAAAUUUCCUCACCAAAGCGCCCUUUCUGGGCAGAGUAGAUGGACUGUCACGUCCUGACCAUAGUAAGUUGUUAUUUUCUAUGGUAGAGUAGGUCAGGGUGUGACAGGGGGUGUUUGUCUGUUUUUGUAUUUCUAUGUUCAGUUUCUAGUUUUGUAUUUCUAUGUUGGUGUUGUUUGGGUUGAUCUCCAAUUGGAGGCAGCUGAUCCUCGUUACCUCUAAUUGGAGGUCAUAUUUAAGUUGAUGUUUGUCCCACCUGUUUUUGUGGGUGAUUAUCUUUUGAGUAGUGUGUUUUCCUCGCUGCGGCACGGUUUGUUGUUUUUGUGUUUCAAGUAUUUAAUGUAUUGCAUUUAGUUUCACGG
This 2058-nucleotide long non-coding RNA is filed under the name Salmo salar (Atlantic salmon). Its description in RNAcentral is "lncRNA (ENSSSAG00000099871.1)". The record is from RNAcentral. Lineage: Eukaryota; Metazoa; Chordata; Actinopteri; Salmoniformes; Salmonidae.